Molecule: ribosomal RNA, 460 nt
Filed under: uncultured bacterium
Lineage: Bacteria
Description: partial 16S ribosomal RNA
Rfam family: Bacterial small subunit ribosomal RNA
Source: RNAcentral
CCUACGGGGUGCAGCAGUGAGGAAUAUUGGUCAAUGGACGAGAGUCUGAACCAGCCAAGUAGCGUGAAGGAUGACUGCCCUAUGGGUUGUAAACUUCUUUUAUAUGGGAAUAAAACGUUCCACGUGUGGGUUUUUGUAUGUACCAUAUGAAUAAGGAUCGGCUAACUCCGUGCCAGCAGCCGCGGUAAUACGGAGGAUCCGAGCGUUAUCCGGAUUUAUUGGGUUUAAAGGGAGCGUAGGUGGAUUGUUAAGUCAGUUGUGAAAGUUUGCGGCUCAACCGUAAAAUUGCAGUUGAAACUGGAAGUCGAGAGUACAGGAGAGGUGGGCGGAAUGCGUGGUGUAGCGGUGAAAUGCUUAGAGAUCACGAAGAACUCCGAUUGCGAAGGCAGUUCACUGGACUGCAACUGACACUGAGGCUCGAAAGUGUGGGUAUCAAACAGGAUUAGAUACCCCAGUAGUC